Molecule: ribosomal RNA, 492 nt
Filed under: uncultured bacterium
Lineage: Bacteria
Description: partial 16S ribosomal RNA
Rfam family: Bacterial small subunit ribosomal RNA
Source: RNAcentral
AGUGAACGCUGGCGGUAGGCCUAACACAUGCAAGUCGAACGGCAGCACAGUAAGAGCUUGCUCUUACGGGUGGCGAGUGGCGGACGGGUGAGGAAUACAUCGGAAUCUACUUUUUCGUGGGGGAUAACGUAGGGAAACUUACGCUAAUACCGCAUACGACCUACGGGUGAAAGCAGGGGAUCUUCGGACCUUGCGCGAUUGAAUGAGCCGAUGUCGGAUUAGCUAGUUGGCGGGGUAAAGGCCCACCAAGGCGACGAUCCGUAGCUGGUCUGAGAGGAUGAUCAGCCACACUGGAACUGAGACACGGUCCAGGCUCCUACGGGAGGCAGCGGUGGGGAAUAUUGGACAAUGGGCGCAAGCUUGAUCCAGCCAUACCGCGUGGGUGAAGAAGGCCUUCGGGUUGUAAAGCCCUUUUGUUGGGAAAGAAAAGCAGCAGGUUAAUACCCCGCUGUUCUGACGGUACCCAAAGAAUAAGCACCGGCUAACUUCGUG